Molecule: ribosomal RNA, 406 nt
Filed under: uncultured bacterium
Lineage: Bacteria
Description: partial 16S ribosomal RNA
Rfam family: Bacterial small subunit ribosomal RNA
Source: RNAcentral
AUUGCACGCUGGCGGCAUGCUUUACACAUGCAAGUCGGACGAGUGGCGAACGGGUGAGUAACGCAUCGGAACGUACCUAGUAAUGGGGGAUAACUGUCCGAAAGGACAGCUAAUACCGCAUACUAUUCGAGCAGCCGAAGUGGUAUUAGCUGGUUGGCGGGGUAACGGCCCACCAAGGCGACGAUCAGUAGCGGGUCUGAGAGGAUGAUCAGCCACACUGGGACUGAGACACGGCCCAGACUCCUACGGGAGGCAGCAGUGGGGAAUAGUGGACAAUGGGCGCAAGCCUGAUCCAGCCAUGCCGCGUGUAUGAAGAAGGCCUUCGGGUUGUAAAGGACUUUUGGCAGGGAAGCGGUACCGGAAUAAAAAGCAACGGCUAACUACGUGCCAGCAGCCGCGGUAAUUC